GACAGGGGAUGCAAGCGUUAUCCGGAAUGAUUGGGCGUAAAGCGUCUGUAGGUGGCUUUUUAAGUCUGCCGUCAAAUCCCAGGGCUCAACCCUGGCCAGGCGGUGGAGACUACUAAGCUGGAGUACGGUAGGGGCAGAGGGAAUUUCCGGUGGAGCGGUGAAAUGCGUAGAUAUCCGGAAGAACACCCAUGGCGAAGGCACGUUUCUGGCUGGUUCCUGACGCUGAGGUGCGAAAGCUAGGGGAGCGAACGGG
This 253-nucleotide ribosomal RNA is filed under the name uncultured prokaryote. Its description in RNAcentral is "partial 16S ribosomal RNA". It matches the Rfam family "Bacterial small subunit ribosomal RNA", at positions 524 to 776 of the family's 1533-position model. The record is from RNAcentral.